GGUGACCACCAAACACCAAGUCUUCUUGAAGCAGCUGGUCAGGGCAAACAUCCUGAAAGCAUCGGAGAGGCAAUUCAUGAGUAUUUGUAGUUGACCUUCUUCAUGGGCACUGAGUGCAGUGCUAUCAACAAAUAAGUAUGCACCUCACUUUUGUCUUUGACAUUAGACAUAAUGGAUUGUAGAGUUUGCCAUCUGAUCUUGUCUGAAGGUAUAUGCCUUUCUCCAAGUCAAUCAAAAGCAUAGUGCAGCAGCAUAGAAAAUAUCCUAAAGAGUGUAGGUGCCAGAACACAACCCUGCUUCCCUCCAUUCUUUAUCUCACCCUGUCAGAAGUUGAUCCAUCAAACUGAACUGUGGACUGCAUGUUUUCAUGGAAGGAGUGUAUCAUGUUGAGUCAUCUUGCAGGGCAUCCAAUCUUUACCAGGACCUUGAACAAACCUGUUCUGCUGACAUUGUGAAGGCUUUCAUCAGGUUGACAAAUGCUACAUACAGUGGCUUAUUUUGUUCUCUGCGUUUUUCUUGUAGUUGGUAUACAGAGAAUAUCAUGUCCACUGUUGAUCUCCCUGCUCUGAA
This is a long non-coding RNA of Gavialis gangeticus (Gharial), 570 nucleotides long. RefSeq lists it as uncharacterized. NCBI's taxonomy places the organism in Eukaryota, Metazoa, Chordata, Crocodylia, Gavialidae. The record is from RefSeq and is a predicted model, not a curated record. The transcript has 3 exons.